RNAcentral lists this ribosomal RNA (413 nucleotides) under Amaurobioides maritima. RNAcentral's name for it is "partial 16S ribosomal RNA". The record is from RNAcentral. Lineage: Eukaryota; Metazoa; Arthropoda; Arachnida; Araneae; Anyphaenidae.
UUCUAUUAGAUUUUAUUAAUAGUAUAAUCUGCUCAAUGAUAUUAAAUAGCCGCUAUUACUGUGCUAAGGUAGCAUAAUCAUUUGUCUUUUAAUUAAAGACUAGAACAAAAGAUUGAACAUUUUAAUUAAUAUAUUUAAAUUAAUUAAUUAAAUUUAUUUUAAAUGUAAAAAAACAUUUAUAAAUUAGAAAGACGAUAAGACCCUAUUAAACUUAACUUAAGUUAAACUGGGGCAGUUAAUUAAUUAUUACUUUAAUUUAAAUUAAAAAAUAAAUAGAUCCUAUAAAAUAGAUUAAAUGAUCAAGUUACUAUAGGGAUAACAGCGUAAUAUUAAUUAAAAGAUCUUAUUUAAAUAAAAGAUUACGACCUCGAUGUUGAAUUAAUAACCUAUAUAGUUGCAAUAAACAAUAAAGG